Molecule: ribosomal RNA, 252 nt
Filed under: uncultured bacterium
Lineage: Bacteria
Description: partial 16S ribosomal RNA
Rfam family: Bacterial small subunit ribosomal RNA
Source: RNAcentral
UACAGAGGUCCCGAGCGUUGUUCGGAUUCAUUGGGCGUAAAGGGUGCGUAGGUGGCGCCGUAAGUGGGGUGUGAAAUCCCGGGGCUUAACCCCGGGACUGCAUUCCAUACUGCGGUGCUUGAGGACUGGAGAGGAGACUGGAAUUUACGGUGUAGCAGUGAAAUGCGUAGAGAUCGUAAGGAAGACCAGUGGCGAAGGCGGGUCUCUGGACAGUUCCUGACACUGAGGCACGAAGGCCAGGGAGCAAACGGG